This 254-nucleotide ribosomal RNA is filed under the name uncultured bacterium. RNAcentral describes it as "partial 16S ribosomal RNA". It matches the Rfam family "Bacterial small subunit ribosomal RNA", at positions 524 to 776 of the family's 1533-position model. The record is from RNAcentral.
UACGUAGGGUGCAAGCGUUGUCCGGAAUUAUUGGGCGUAAAGAGCUCGUAGGCGGUCUGUCACGUCUGCUGUGAAAACUCGGGGCUUAACCCCGGGCCUGCAGUGGGUACGGGCAUGACUGGAGUUCGGCAGGGGAGACUGGAAUUCCUGGUGUAGCGGUGAAAUGCGCAGAUAUCAGGAGGAACACCGAUGGCGAAGGCAGGUCUCUGGGCCACUACUGACGCUGAGAAGCGAAAGCAUGGGGAGCGAACAGG